RNAcentral lists this long non-coding RNA (526 nucleotides) under Populus trichocarpa (black cottonwood). RNAcentral describes it as "long non-coding RNA (PTRI_LNC002678)". The record is from RNAcentral. Lineage: Eukaryota; Viridiplantae; Streptophyta; Magnoliopsida; Malpighiales; Salicaceae.
AACAGGGGCAUCAAAUUGACAAAUUCAAUCACUCCAGCAGAAGCAAAAACAACUAAUUGCAGAAGCAGAAACAGAAGCAGAAAGAACGAACAGUAAAACAAAAUUCAUAGUAAAAUAAAAUAGCAAGUUAAGAGCUUUCUCAUCACAUUUUUUUCCAUGUCUGAGCUAAUUAGCUAGUAGCAUUAAGAAGAUGAGAAUCAAGUUGAUGGGGUCUACGCAAGAACCUGCAGAUAGGCAGAUGGACAUCAAAGCACCAAGGGAAUCAGAGUUGCCAAGUGAUCUCUUCAUGACUGAUGAUGAUUGUGGUGGCGGUAAUGAAACAAAAAGAAAACAACUUUCUCUAAAGGAAACAGAUCUAUUUUUGUUUGAUCAAGGGAGUCAGUCCUCUUCUUGUUCUUCUCAAGUCUUCGUAGUUUCAAGAUCUCUCUCUCUCUCUCUCGGGUCUGGGGGGCUAGGCUCAAGAGGAGAGGGUUAGUGCGCACUUAAACACGACUACUUCCUCUUCUCCCUCUGUACCCAUCCAAAG